UUGCACCUGAUUGAUUUUGGUCGCCAACGAGUGGCGGACGGGUGAGUAACACGUAGGUAACCUGCCCAGAAGCGGGGGACAACAUUUGGAAACAGAUGCUAAUACCGCAUAACAGCGUUGUUCGCAUGAACAACGCUUAAAAGAUGGCUUCUCGCUAUCACUUCUGGAUGGACCUGCGGUGCAUUAGCUUGUUGGUGGGGUAACGGCCUACCAAGGCGAUGAUGCAUAGCCGAGUUGAGAGACUGAUCGGCCACAAUGGGACUGAGACACGGCCCAUACUCCUACGGGAGGCAGCAGUAGGGAAUCUUCCACAAUGGGCGCAAGCCUGAUGGAGCAACACCGCGUGAGUGAAGAAGGGUUUCGGCUCGUAAAGCUCUGUUGUUAAAGAAGAACACGUAUGAGAGUAACUGUUCAUACGUUGACGGUAUUUAACCAGAAAGUCACGGCUAACUACGUGCCAGCAGCCGCGGUAAUACGUAGGUGGCAAGCGUUAUCCGGAUUUAUUGGGCGUAAAGAGAGUGCAGGCGGUUUUCUAAGUCUGAUGUGAAAGCCUUCGGCUUAACCGGAGAAGUGCAUCGGAAACUGGAUAACUUGAGUGCAGAAGAGGGUAGUGGAACUCCAUGUGUAGCGGUGGAAUGCGUAGAUAUAUGGAAGAACACCAGUGGCGAAGGCGGCUACCUGGUCUGCAACUGACGCUGAGACUCGAAAGCAUGGGUAGCGAACAGGAUUAGAUACCCUGGUAGUCCAUGCCGUAAACGAUGAGUGCUAGGUGUUGGAGGGUUUCCGCCCUUCAGUGCCGGAGCUAACGCAUUAAGCACUCCGCCUGGGGAGUACGACCGCAAGGUUGAAACUCAAAGGAAUUGACGGGGGCCCGCACAAGCGGUGGAGCAUGUGGUUUAAUUCGAAGCUACGCGAAGAACCUUACCAGGUCUUGACAUCUUGCGCCAACCCUAGAGAUAGGGCGUUUCCUUCGGGAACGCAAUGACAGGUGGUGCAUGGUCGUCGUCAGCUCGUGUCGUGAGAUGUUGGGUUAAGUCCCGCAACGAGCGCAACCCUUGUUACUAGUUGCCAGCAUUAAGUUGGGCACUCUAGUGAGACUGCCGGUGACAAACCGGAGGAAGGUGGGGACGACGUCAGAUCAUCAUGCCCCUUAUGACCUGGGCUACACACGUGCUACAAUGGACGGUACAACGAGUCGCGAACUCGCGAGGGCAAGCAAAUCUCUUAAAACCGUUCUCAGUUCGGACUGCAGGCUGCAACUCGCCUGCACGAAGUCGGAAUCGCUAGUAAUCGCGGAUCAGCAUGCCGCGGUGAAUACGUUCCCGGGCCUUGUACACACCGCCCGUCACACCAUGAGAGUUUGUAAC
This 1367-nucleotide ribosomal RNA is filed under the name Limosilactobacillus fermentum. RNAcentral describes it as "bacterial SSU rRNA". It matches the Rfam family "Bacterial small subunit ribosomal RNA", at positions 62 to 1418 of the family's 1533-position model. Lineage: Bacteria; Bacillati; Bacillota; Bacilli; Lactobacillales; Lactobacillaceae. The record is from RNAcentral.